AUUGAACGCUGGCGGCAGGCCUAACACAUGCAAGUCGAGCGGAUGAAGGGAGCUUGCUCCUGGAUUCAGCGGCGGACGGGUGAGUAAUGCCUAGGAAUCUGCCUGGUAGUGGGGGAUAACGUCCAGAAACGGGCGCUAAUACCGCAUACGUCCUGAGGGAGAAAGUGGGGGAUCUUCGGACCUCACGCUAUCAGAUGAGCCUAGGUCGGAUUAGCUAGUUGGUGGGGUAAAGGCCUACCAAGGCGACGAUCCGUAACUGGUCUGAGAGGAUGAUCAGUCACACUGGAACUGAGACACGGUCCAGACUCCUACGGGAGGCAGCAGUGGGGAAUAUUGGACAAUGGGCGAAAGCCUGAUCCAGCCAUGCCGCGUGUGUGAAGAAGGUCUUCGGACUGUAAAGCACUUUAAGUUGGGAGGAAGGGCAGUAAGUUAAUACCUUGCUGUUUUGACGUUACCAACAGAAUAAGCACCGGCUAACUUCGUG
This 484-nucleotide ribosomal RNA is filed under the name uncultured bacterium. RNAcentral describes it as "partial 16S ribosomal RNA". It matches the Rfam family "Bacterial small subunit ribosomal RNA", at positions 30 to 507 of the family's 1533-position model. The record is from RNAcentral.